CAAUAGCGUAUAUUAAAGUUGUUGCAGUUAAAAAGCUCGUAGUUGGAUUUCUGGUGGGAGCGAUCGGUCUGGCGCUUAGCGCGAGUACUUGCAUCGUCUCCGGCCAUCCUUGGGGAAAGUCUGUCUGGCAUUAGGUUGUCGGGCAGAGGAUCCUCAUCGUUUACUGUGAAAAAAUUAGAGUGUUCAAAGCAGGCUUAUGCCGUUGAAUAUAUUAGCAUGGAAUAAUAAGAUAGGACUUUGGUACUAUUUUGUUGGUUUGCGCACCAAAGUAAUGAUUAAUAGGGACAGUUGGGGGUAUUCGUAUUCCGUUGUCAGAGGUGAAAUUCUUGGAUUUACGGAAGACGAACUACUGCGAAAGCAUUUACCAAGGAUGUUUUCAUUAA
Molecule: ribosomal RNA, 383 nt
Filed under: uncultured eukaryote
Lineage: Eukaryota
Description: partial 18S ribosomal RNA
Rfam family: Eukaryotic small subunit ribosomal RNA
Source: RNAcentral